This 1120-nucleotide long non-coding RNA is filed under the name Capra hircus (goat). RNAcentral describes it as "lncRNA (ENSCHIG00010015880.1)". Lineage: Eukaryota; Metazoa; Chordata; Mammalia; Artiodactyla; Bovidae. The record is from RNAcentral.
UUGUGUUUAGCACUAAUAAAGAAUGCUGUCAAGCGGCUUUUUAAAAAAGUCCAGUUGUACUGAAUUUACUUGAUUCCUGUUCUAUCUAGUUCAAUAGCAAUUUAAUUUUAAGAAGUAAUCAAAUAUGUUUGACAUGAUUUAUUUUCACAAACCUAUACUGUCUCCUACCAAUUAAAUUGCACUUUUCCAAAUUUAAUGCUGAGCAGNNNNNNNNNNNNNNNNCCAAACUCUCCUCCCAAUGAAAACAACAGAAUUACCUUGGUCUACAGUCAUUCAUUCUUUAUUAAAAAAUAAUGGGAUGUUAUUUUCAGGUUUAUAAUCAUUCAUUAAAUCUUCCAAUUCACUCCUAAAAGCAGAUGCAAUAAAUGUUACCAAGUGAAAUGAUAGAUUCUCUAAUCAGGCUCAUCCCCACCCCAGAGGCAGUCCAUUAAUACAAGGUGUUUUGUCUAAUUAUAUCCUCUCUAAAGCAUUGUAAUACAUCUGUAGGAUUGGCUGUCUCAUGGUUUCUUUUUAAGGUGAGCAAAUAUAUUGCUUCCUGUUGUGAAAGAAGAGUAUGAUGGAAAGGGAUUAUGCAUAACCACUUCUCUUCACUAAUUAAUACCUUGGCUAUAGCACGUCUUCUGUAAAACUUGAAUCUCUUUGCCCUCGUUCAAAGCCAGUUCCGGAAUCUGGCUGCGUUUCAGAUCUAGUUACAUAUGUUGCUCAUCUUUGUAUCAGGGAAGAGUUGGAGAAGCAGUUUUGGCAUGAAAGAGUAUGGAUGAAGGAUUCACAAAGCUCUCUACAUGGUGAUUUUUCAACGGCCACAAAUAGAAAUCAGGAGAUUCUGCCUGCAGCAUUUACUGUGAGCCAGGGUCUAUGAUGGGGGCUUUAAAUAGGGAAAGUAUCGCUGAGAAAAGUUAAGUAAUUUCCUUAGUAAUAAAAUGAAGAAGCAGAUAGACACUGGAUUCAAACAAGGUUCUGUUCAAAGUUCAUAAGGCUUCCAUCACACCAUGCUGUUCUUUCUGCACCACUCUCUUCAUGAUCCCUUUUAGUAUUCAGUUCAGUUCAGUUCAGUCGCUCUGUCGCGUCCAACUCUGCAACCCCAUGAAUCGCAGCACUCCAGGCCUCCCUGUCCAUCACC